UACGUAGGGGGCAAGCGUUGUCCGGAAUCAUUGGGCGUAAAGCGCGUGUAGGCGGCUCGAUAAGUCUGCUGUGAAAGUCCAGGGCUCAACCCUGGGAUGCCGGUGGAUACUGUCGAGCUCGAGUCCGGAAGAGGAGUGUGGAAUUCCUGGUGUAGCGGUGAAAUGCGCAGAUAUCAGGAGGAACACCAAUGGCGAAGGCAGCACUCUGGGACGUGACUGACGCUGAGACGCGAAAGCCAGGGGAGCGAACGGG
This 253-nucleotide ribosomal RNA is filed under the name uncultured bacterium. Its description in RNAcentral is "partial 16S ribosomal RNA". It matches the Rfam family "Bacterial small subunit ribosomal RNA", at positions 524 to 776 of the family's 1533-position model. The record is from RNAcentral.